CUGCUCUGUGUCGACAUUUAAGGAGUGUCCAAACACAGUGAAGUGGGUGUAUGAUGGUAAUGAUCAGGAUGUGAACACUCAGCACAUGAAGGAGUCACAGUCUUCUUGUUCUGCUACUGCGGAGUUUACAACUUCUCAUCUUACUGAGUUAUUCAAAUGUAGAGUGACAAAUGUUUACACUGGAAAAGUGCAGCUAUUUACCUUCAGCCCUCCAUCUUCAGGUGAAGACCCAAAAAGAGCUGCAACAACAAAAUCAACAACUGUAACAACAGUGGGAAAAAGCACAGAAGCAAAUACGAACCAAACACCAUCUACAAUCACUGAUACUCCAUCAAAUCCAGGUGAAGACCCAAAAAGAGCUGCAACAACAAAAUCAACAACUGUAACAACAGUGGGGAAAAGCACAGAAGCAAAUACGAA
Molecule: long non-coding RNA, 420 nt
Organism: Scomber scombrus (Atlantic mackerel)
Lineage: Eukaryota; Metazoa; Chordata; Actinopteri; Scombriformes; Scombridae
Exons: 3
Source: RefSeq, a predicted model, not a curated record